RNAcentral lists this long non-coding RNA (254 nucleotides) under Carica papaya (papaya). RNAcentral's name for it is "long non-coding RNA (CPAP_LNC003074)". Lineage: Eukaryota; Viridiplantae; Streptophyta; Magnoliopsida; Brassicales; Caricaceae. The record is from RNAcentral.
UAAUCGUUCCGUGUUCGAGUGCAUGAGAAAACAAUAUGAUCUGUGUGCCAUAAUCGUUCCGUGUUCAGGGAAUAACAAUGUUUCAAGGUACUCAUGUAUGUCGUUCUUUAUUCAAGUACAUGGAGAAUCAAUAAUAACACAUAAUGUAUGGUAACUGAUUAAUCUUCCAUAAUAGUGAUGAAGUAUACAACGAAGCAAUUGUGAAUUUAUUUUCUGAUUUGUGCAUUCGUCUUCUGAUUUGUAUGUUUUGUUAU